GUUAAAUAAGAAAGAAACGAAAGCAGCUGCUUUUAAUGAAAUACAAUGUUAACCAACAGUAGGGCACAUCUGGGUUAUUUCCUUUAUGAACUAUCUAGGACCUGUAGCCUGGAAAUCCAGACCCAAAUCCGAGAUAUUAAGAGUCUGGCAUCAAGUAAUGAAAGUCGCCCAUCUCAAGAGGCGGUACAAAGCGUAAAUUUGAAAAUCUCAAAAAAAAGAAUAGCUUGGCCACAAGGGCAUAGCUAAUGAGCAGCAUUACUCGAUGCCAGAGUAACUCGCUGAGUAAAUUCAAAUUGUCCUCUCCCGAGAACUCUGGAUUUCCAGGGUAUGGGACCUGCAAAAGUCCCAAAAAGUCCAUCACAUCUACUCACUUGUCAACAGAGGACAAACAUUUAGCAAUAAAAUUGCUGGAUUAUGUUCAAAUUCUCUUUAUUGGUAUGCAGUUGUUGACACAUUGUCACUUAACAGCUCAUUGAAGCUUCAGCAACAACUUAGCUCUCAAAAAAAAAGGAUUCCAGGUCACAGCUGGAUUUUCAUCUG
Etheostoma spectabile (orangethroat darter) is the source of this 540-nucleotide long non-coding RNA. RefSeq lists it as uncharacterized. The record is from RefSeq and is a predicted model, not a curated record. The transcript has 3 exons. NCBI's taxonomy places the organism in Eukaryota, Metazoa, Chordata, Actinopteri, Perciformes, Percidae.